RNAcentral lists this long non-coding RNA (320 nucleotides) under Lactuca sativa (garden lettuce). Its description in RNAcentral is "long non-coding RNA (LSAT_LNC001255)". Lineage: Eukaryota; Viridiplantae; Streptophyta; Magnoliopsida; Asterales; Asteraceae. The record is from RNAcentral.
GUUCAUUCAUCAUCGUUUCCUCCGUCCAUUUCAACAACCUCAUAAACCCCACUUCGCCGCCUCCGCCUUCGCCACCGCCACUUCAGGAAAAUGGCAGCCGCCACCGCUUCGUUUGCCUUCUCAAGACUCCUCUCCUCCGCCACCAAACCCCACCUCACCUCCGCCUCCACCUCUCUACUCCCUGCCAACCACCGCUCUCUCGCCUUCUCUUCCUCCAUUUCUCCCCUUCGCAUCAAAAACCUCGGACUCACCCACCGUCACGCCAUCAGAUACUCCACCACCCCCAAAGUCUCCGCCACCAUCUCCGUCGGAGACAAACU